GACGAACCGUCCAAACGUUACUCGGAAUUACUGGGCUUAAAGGGUGCGUAUGCUGCGCGGAAAGUUGGGUGUGAAAUCCCUCGGCUCAACCGGGGAAUUGCAUCCAAAACUACCGUGCUCGAGGGAGACAGAGGUAAGCGGAACUCAAGGUGGAGCGGUGAAAUGCGUUGAUAUCUUGAGGAACACCGGUGGCGCAAGCGGCUUACUGGGUCUCUGCUGACGCUGAGGCACGAAAGCUAAGGUAGCUAGCGGG
This 253-nucleotide ribosomal RNA is filed under the name uncultured bacterium. RNAcentral's name for it is "partial 16S ribosomal RNA". It matches the Rfam family "Bacterial small subunit ribosomal RNA", at positions 524 to 776 of the family's 1533-position model. The record is from RNAcentral.